Molecule: ribosomal RNA, 1196 nt
Filed under: Bacciger minor
Lineage: Eukaryota; Metazoa; Platyhelminthes; Trematoda; Plagiorchiida; Faustulidae
Description: eukaryotic LSU rRNA
Rfam family: Eukaryotic large subunit ribosomal RNA
Source: RNAcentral
UUAAGCAUAUCACUAAGCGGAGGAAAAGAAACUAACAAGGAUUCCCUUAGUAACGGCGAGUGAACAGGGAAAAGCCCAGCACCGAAGCCUGUGGUCAUUUGGCCCCUAGGCACUGUGGUGUUUAGGUCUGCCCGCGGAAGCGCUGUCCCACUCUAAGUCCAGCAAUGAGUACGGCAUCUGUGACUUGGCCCAAAGAGGGUGAAAGGCCCGUGAGAGUGGGGUUCAGAUAAGCCAGCGCAUUCCCUGAGUUGACCUUGGAGUCGGGUUGUUUGUGAAUGCAGCCCAAAGUGGGUGGUAAACUCCAUCCAAGGCUAAAUACUUACACGAGUCCGAUAGCGAACAAGUACCGUGAGGGAAAGUUGAAAAGUACUUUGAAGAGAGAGUAAACAGUGCGUGAAACCGCUCACAGGUAAACGGGUGGAGUUGAACUGCAAGCCAUGAGAAUUCAGCUGAUAGGAUUGACGUGAUCUUGGUCACGUGUGUUCUUCCAGAGUCUGUGUAGCAACAGGUUCUGCUUUGGGUUCUGCCUAAAGUAGGAUGCGCGAUGCACUUGUCAAGUGUUGUGCGCUCUGGUUAUAUCGAACGCUCCUGUCAGUGCACUUUCUCAUGGUGUUCACCACGACCGGCGUCUUGUCCGUCUGCUGUUGUCAAACCGGGUCUGUAUUAUCCUUGUGGUUUUACGGAUUCGGGAUGGCAGUCAGCCUGUUUGCAUUUAUGCAUUCAGGUGUAGCUGGCAACAGUAUAACUGUGCAGGAUGUCGGAGAUUGCGGCUUGUUGGGCGCUUAUUCGCAUAUCUUUUUAGCAGCCACUGGUCUGGUUAUUUUGUGCAUGGUAAACAUGCCGGGUAAUGGCCUGUGGUUGUAUUUUAAGAGUUUGCGAGGAGUGCUGUGCAGGGCCUAUAGUCUGUGGUGUAGUGGUAGACUUUCCACCCGACCCGUCUUGAAACACGGACCAAGGAGAGUAACAUGUAUGCGAGUCAUUGGGCAUUACGAAACCCAAAGGCGUAGUGAAAGUAAAGGUCCAACUCGUUUUGGACUGAGGUGAGAUUCAUCUGUUUCUCAUGUGCGGUACUACCAAGCAAUCGAGCAKAUGACGCAUCACCGGCCCGUCCCAUGGUUUAUACGGUUCCCUCGGGGACCGUAUAGCCGGGGCGGAGCAUGAACAUACAUGUUGAGACCCGAAAGAUGGUGAACUAU